Molecule: non-coding RNA, 75 nt
Organism: Gopherus evgoodei (Goodes thornscrub tortoise)
Lineage: Eukaryota; Metazoa; Chordata; Testudines; Testudinidae
Source: the annotation of a RefSeq genome assembly
AGAAACUUAGGAUAAACCUUAAUAAACCAGGAGCCUUCAAAGCCCCAAACAAGAGACAAAACCUCUUAGUUUCUG